RNAcentral lists this microRNA precursor (225 nucleotides) under Marmota monax (woodchuck). Lineage: Eukaryota; Metazoa; Chordata; Mammalia; Rodentia; Sciuridae. The record is from RNAcentral.
UGAAAGAGAGGAGAGAGAGAGAGAGAGAGAGAGAGAGAGAGAGAGAGAAAGAGAGAGAGACCUCCUGUGUUUCUUUGGUCACCAACCCCAAAACUGGGCUUCAUAAGAAGAGAGAAAAGAAAGAAAAUGGUUUUCUAUUUCCAGAAAUAAACAUCUCACCAGCAAAUGCCUCUGUACCUCUCUCUCUCUCUCUCUCUCUCUCUCUCUCUCUCUCCUACUUCAUCU